UAGGGAAUCUUCGGCAAUGGACGAAAGUCUGACCGAGCAACGCCGCGUGAGUGAAGAAGGUUUUCGGAUCGUAAAACUCUGUUGUUAGAGAAGAACAAGGACGUUAGUAACUGAACGUCCCCUGACGGUAUCUAACCAGAAAGCCACGGCUAACUACGUGCCAGCAGCCGCGGUAAUACGUAGGUGGCAAGCGUUGUCCGGAUUUAUUGGGCGUAAAGCGAGCGCAGGCGGUUUCUUAAGUCUGAUGUGAAAGCCCCCGGCUCAACCGGGGAGGGUAAUUGAAAACUGGGGGACUGGGGGGAAGAAGGGGGGGUGGAAAUUCCAGGUGUGGGGGGAAAUGGGUAAAUUAAAGGGGGGAAAACAGGUGGCGAGGCGGCUCUCUGGUCUGUAACUGACGCUGAGGCUCGAAAGCGUGGGGAGCAAACAGG
This 428-nucleotide ribosomal RNA is filed under the name Gemmatimonadota bacterium. RNAcentral describes it as "Gemmatimonadetes bacterium partial 16S ribosomal RNA". It matches the Rfam family "Bacterial small subunit ribosomal RNA", at positions 355 to 776 of the family's 1533-position model. The record is from RNAcentral. Lineage: Bacteria; Pseudomonadati; Gemmatimonadota.